This 427-nucleotide ribosomal RNA is filed under the name uncultured Acidobacteriota bacterium. RNAcentral describes it as "bacterial SSU rRNA". It matches the Rfam family "Bacterial small subunit ribosomal RNA", at positions 958 to 1385 of the family's 1533-position model. The record is from RNAcentral. Lineage: Bacteria; Pseudomonadati; Acidobacteriota.
AACGCGAAGAACCUUACCUGGGCUCGAAGUGCUCGGGACCAGCGGUGGAAACAUCGCCUUCCCGCAAGGGACUCGAGUAGAGGUGCUGCAUGGCUGUCGUCAGCUCGUGCCGUGAGGUGUUGGGUUAAGUCCCGCAACGAGCGCAACCCUUACUCUUAGUUGCCACCCGCAAGGGGGAACUCUAAGAGGACUGCUCCGGAUAACGGAGAGGAAGGUGGGGAUGACGUCAAGUCAGCACGGCCUUUAUGUCCAGGGCUACACACGUGUUACAAUGCACGGUACAAACCGUCGCGAACCCGUGAGGGGGAGCUAAUCGGAGAAAACCGUGCUCAGUUCGGAUUGCAGUCUGCAACUCGACUGCAUGAAGCCGGAAUCGCUAGUAAUGGCGUAUCAGAACGACGCCGUGAAUACGUUCCCGGGCCUUGUA